RNAcentral lists this transfer RNA (72 nucleotides) under Bos taurus (domestic cattle). It matches the Rfam family "tRNA". Rfam says of the family: Transfer RNA (tRNA) molecules are approximately 80 nucleotides in length. Their secondary structure includes four short double-helical elements and three loops (D, anti-codon, and T loops). Lineage: Eukaryota; Metazoa; Chordata; Mammalia; Artiodactyla; Bovidae. The record is from Rfam by way of RNAcentral. RNAcentral also lists the same sequence under 1 other name.
UCCCUGGUGGCUUAGACGGUAAAGCGUCUGUCUGCGAGGCAGGAGACCUGGGUUCGAUCCCUGGGUUGGGAA